AAGAAAGUGGUAGAGUGGGUAUGCGACUGACUUGAAAUCAGCUUAUGGGGGUUCGAUUCCCUCCUUUCUCG
This 71-nucleotide transfer RNA is filed under the name Leiopelma hamiltoni. Its description in RNAcentral is "tRNA-Ser". It matches the Rfam family "tRNA". Rfam says of the family: Transfer RNA (tRNA) molecules are approximately 80 nucleotides in length. Their secondary structure includes four short double-helical elements and three loops (D, anti-codon, and T loops). The record is from RNAcentral. Lineage: Eukaryota; Metazoa; Chordata; Amphibia; Anura; Leiopelmatidae.